RNAcentral lists this ribosomal RNA (179 nucleotides) under Rhizophagus irregularis. Lineage: Eukaryota; Fungi; Glomeromycota; Glomeromycetes; Glomerales; Glomeraceae. The record is from RNAcentral.
CAGUCGUACCGGCGGAUAAUCAGCCUUUCGGGUGCGAUUCUGUGGGGCGUGAAGAGUUUAACCGCCUUCAUGUUUUGCAUAUUUGUGCUCUUGGGUGUACUUGUCUGUGUGGUAGGUUAACAUCAAUUUCGGUCGGCAUAAAAUGAUUAGAGGAAUGUAGCUUUGAUCUCGUAUCGAAG